UCGACACCCCACAAUUUCUGAUAUCUAUUUUGACAAUAAUCGAUUAUGUUUGAACACGGGAGUAUUGACAUUCUUUGAGUAUUUUUGUUAACAAAAACCAACUCUUAACCGAAAACAACCACUGUAUCACACAUGUAUCAGUCAGCACAUGUGUUUUCUCACAAAUAUGUCUUUAUGUGUAAUCUUAUUUAUAUUUAGUUUGAAGGAAAUGCAGCAGAGAAUAAUUCAGUUAUAGGUGAAAUACACAAUUUCAAAUUUUAACAGUGUUACCAAACGUAAUAUAUUCCAUUUACUGCUAUUUGAAAUAAAAUAUUGGGCAGAAACUGAGUGUACACGCUUCAGUUGUUCCCGUGAAGAUUCUAUUAACAGGAAACCAAUAUUGCAAUAAGCAUUAUGAGACCCUAUCUUAAUGUGGUCGACUUAAUA
Haliotis rubra (blacklip abalone) is the source of this 426-nucleotide long non-coding RNA. RefSeq lists it as uncharacterized. NCBI's taxonomy places the organism in Eukaryota, Metazoa, Mollusca, Gastropoda, Lepetellida, Haliotidae. The record is from RefSeq and is a predicted model, not a curated record. The transcript has 2 exons.